CUGGGACACACUCCUGUUCAGUCAAAGCAGUUGCAGUAUUGUAGUUAGCUCAUCCUAUCGGGCUAUUAGUGUGGGCAUGUCUUUAUAUGUGUGUGUGUGUGUAGUAGUAGUAGUAGUAAGAGAGAGAGAGAGAGAGAGACCACAAAGAACGACUCGUAAAACCGAAGAGUCCAUGAAGAUUCGCCACGUGGGGCCAGGCAGAAUUUGGCAUUUCGGAGGUGCUCAAAGUAUUCUGUCCUUCCCAGUUUUUCGGGUCCACUGAACUUCAACUCUGGAGAUUCCAACUGUUCAGAAAGUCAAUACUCGCAUCUUUUGAAGGAAAUAUCUCU
Rhododendron vialii is the source of this 329-nucleotide long non-coding RNA. RefSeq lists it as uncharacterized. The record is from RefSeq and is a predicted model, not a curated record. NCBI's taxonomy places the organism in Eukaryota, Viridiplantae, Streptophyta, Magnoliopsida, Ericales, Ericaceae. The transcript has 2 exons.